Molecule: ribosomal RNA, 490 nt
Filed under: uncultured bacterium
Lineage: Bacteria
Description: partial 16S ribosomal RNA
Rfam family: Bacterial small subunit ribosomal RNA
Source: RNAcentral
AUUGAACGCUGGCGGCAGGCCUAACACAUGCAAGUCGAACGGUAACAGGAAGCAGCUUGCUGCUUUGCUGACGAGUGGCGGACGGGUGAGUAAUGUCUGGGAAACUGCCCGAUGGAGGGGGAUAACUACUGGAAACGGUAGCUAAUACCGCAUAACGUCGCAAGACCAAAGAGGGGGACCUUAGGGCCUCUUGCCAUCGGAUGUGCCCAGAUGGGAUUAGCUAGUAGGUGGGGUAACGGCUCACCUAGGCGACGAUCCCUAGCUGGUCUGAGAGGAUGACCAGCCACACUGGAACUGAGACACGGUCCAGACUCCUACGGGAGGCAGCAGUGGGGAAUAUUGCACAAUGGGCGCAAGCCUGAUGCAGACAUGCCGCGUGUAUGAAGAAGGCCUUCGGGUUGUAAAGUACUUUCAGCGGGGAGGAAGGGAGUAAAGUUAAUACCUUUGCUCAUUGACGUUACCCGCAGAAGAAGCACCGGCUAACUCCGUG